RNAcentral lists this non-coding RNA (160 nucleotides) under bovine gut metagenome. Its description in RNAcentral is "Lysine riboswitch". It matches the Rfam family "Lysine riboswitch aptamer". Rfam says of the family: Riboswitches are metabolite binding domains within certain messenger RNAs that serve as precision sensors for their corresponding targets. Allosteric rearrangement of mRNA structure is mediated by ligand binding, and this results in modulation of gene expression. This family includes riboswitches that sense lysine in a number of genes involved in lysine metabolism, including lysC. The record is from RNAcentral.
GCAGGUAGAGGCGCGGUAUUCAUGAGUAGUCCGGAGACACAGGCAAACGCUCCCGGCCGAAAGGGUCUGCCGCCGAAGUUUUGCAUCGACGCCUUAAGGUGCAAAGCUGGGCCGUCGGGAAACACCCGCCGGACUGUCACGUCAGUGGAGCGCUAUCGGA